RNAcentral lists this transfer RNA (72 nucleotides) under Camelus bactrianus (Bactrian camel). It matches the Rfam family "tRNA". Rfam says of the family: Transfer RNA (tRNA) molecules are approximately 80 nucleotides in length. Their secondary structure includes four short double-helical elements and three loops (D, anti-codon, and T loops). The record is from Rfam by way of RNAcentral. Lineage: Eukaryota; Metazoa; Chordata; Mammalia; Artiodactyla; Camelidae. RNAcentral also lists the same sequence under 2 other names.
GGGGGUACAGCUCAGGGGCAGGGCAUCUGACUACAGAUCAAGAGGUCCCCAGUUCAAGUCCAGGUGCCCCCU